RNAcentral lists this ribosomal RNA (490 nucleotides) under uncultured bacterium. RNAcentral describes it as "partial 16S ribosomal RNA". It matches the Rfam family "Bacterial small subunit ribosomal RNA", at positions 30 to 507 of the family's 1533-position model. The record is from RNAcentral.
AUUGAACGCUGGCGGCAGGCCUAACACAUGCAAGUCGAAUGGUAACAGGAAACAGCUUGCUGUUUCGCUGACGAGUGGCGGACGGGUGAGUAAUGUCUGGGAAACUGCCUGAUGGAGGGGGAUAACUACUGGAAACGGUAGCUAAUACCGCAUAACGUCGCAAGACCAAAGAGGGGGACCUUCGGGCCUCUUGCCAUCGGAUGUGCCCAGAUGGGAUUAGCUAGUAGGUGGGGUAACGGCUCACCUAGGCGACGAUCCCUAGCUGGUCUGAGAGGAUGACCAGCCACACUGGAACUGAGACACGGCCCAGACUCCUACGGGAGGCAGCAGUGGGGAAUAUUGCACAAUGGGCGCAAGCCUGAUGCAGCCAUGCCGCGUGUAUGAAGAAGGCCUUCGGGUUGUAAAGUACUUUCAGCGGGGAGGAAGGGAGUAAAGUUAAUACCUUUGCUCAUUGACGUUACCCGCAGAAGAAGCACCGGCUAACUCCGUG